UGGAAUGAAUGGAAGGUGCACUGAUGGCAGU
This 31-nucleotide non-coding RNA is filed under the name Mus musculus (house mouse). The record is from RNAcentral. Lineage: Eukaryota; Metazoa; Chordata; Mammalia; Rodentia; Muridae.